Homo sapiens (human) is the source of this 668-nucleotide long non-coding RNA. Ensembl annotates it as long intergenic non-protein coding RNA 1229. The record is from Ensembl. Lineage: Eukaryota; Metazoa; Chordata; Mammalia; Primates; Hominidae.
AUUUGCGUGAGGGGGAAAAAAUACCCGCUUGUCCGUCCUGUCCCUUCAGGCUGCGCAACGCUGGAGGGCGAUGGGAGCUCCACACAGGUGGGACGAGCCUAGCAGCACCAUGGAAAACCCACACACAAGUGAAGCCCCGACCCACCUCCCAAGUGCCCAUCUGAGCACCCCUCGUGGACUCUGAGCAGGGGGUUGCCAUCACCAACUCCAAGUCUUGCAGCCCCUCUUCCCUUCAGUCUGGCUGCCACCUUCUUCAUUGCCCUGGAAAAAAAUAAUGAAGUUUCACCAUUUAAAGGGUUUCAGUGCAGCUUGCUAUGGGAACACUGGAGAGUAACACAAAUGGCCAAUUGUCCUAAUAGCCACCAUGGAUUGGAUGGAUGCUAACAACAGGCUCACAGUUCUCCUUCUGUUGCCUCCUUUUAUCCACAUGAGAAUCAAACAAGAUCUUCUAGGAAUCUAAAAAUGUGUGUGAGAUUUCACCUGUAAAAGCUGAGUUAUUCUGAAUCUGCGUUUUCCUGAAGAUUUUUCUUUGUGUGGUCAGCCUUCUUGGAAAAAUCCAGAAGCCACCAUCAACUUACAACCCUGCAUGAAUAAAUGUAAUGUUUCGUUUGGAGAUUGAGAGCUGAUAUAUAGGACAAGGAUAACUGGCCCAAUACAGACAAAGUUCC